UACGGAAGGCAGCAGUGGGGAAUAUUGCACAAUGGGCGCAAGCCUGAUGCAGCCAUGCCGCGUGUAUGAAAAAGGCCUUCGGGUUGUAAAGUACUUUCAGUCGUGAGGAAGGUGUUAGGGUUAAUAACCUUAGCAAUUGACGUUAGCGACAGAAGAAGCACCGGCUAACUCCGUGCCAGCAGCCGCGGUAAUACGGAGGGUGCGAGCGUUAAUCGGAAUUACUGGGCGUAAAGGGCACGCAGGCGGUUAAUUAAGUUGGAUGUGAAAUCCCCGGGCUUAACCUGGGAAUGGCAUUCAAGACUGGUUAGCUAGAGUCUUGUAGAGGGGGUAGAAUUCCAUGUGUAGCGGUGAAAUGCGUAGAGAUGUGGAGGAAUACCGGUGGCGAAGGCGGCCCCUGGACAAAGACUGACGCUCAUGUGCGAAAGCGUGGGGAGCAAACAGGGAUUAAA
RNAcentral lists this ribosomal RNA (449 nucleotides) under uncultured bacterium. RNAcentral's name for it is "bacterial SSU rRNA". It matches the Rfam family "Bacterial small subunit ribosomal RNA", at positions 340 to 782 of the family's 1533-position model. The record is from RNAcentral.